Molecule: small nuclear RNA, 97 nt
Organism: Ursus americanus (American black bear)
Lineage: Eukaryota; Metazoa; Chordata; Mammalia; Carnivora; Ursidae
Source: Ensembl
GCGCUUGCUUUGGCAGCACAUAUACUAAAACUGGAACGCUACGGAGAUUAGCAUGGCCUCCGCGCAAGGAUGACACGCACAUUUGUUCUCACUGUGG